Molecule: ribosomal RNA, 422 nt
Filed under: uncultured bacterium
Lineage: Bacteria
Description: bacterial SSU rRNA
Rfam family: Bacterial small subunit ribosomal RNA
Source: RNAcentral
UAAGGAAUAUUGGACAAUGGAGGCAACUCUGAUCCAGCCAUGCCGCGUGAAGGAAUAAGGCCCUAUGGGUUGUAAACUUCUUUUAGACGGGACAAAACCCCUUUACGUGUAAAGGGUUGAUGGUACUGUCAGAAUAAGCAUCGGCUAACUUCGUGCCAGCAGCCGCGGUAAUACGAAGGAUGCAAGCGUUAUCCGGAAUUAUUGGGUUUAAAGGGUGCGUAGGUGGGCUUAUAAGUCAGUGGUGAAAUCUCCGAGCUUAACUUGGAAACUGCCGUUGAUACUAUAGGUCUUGAAUUAUCUGGAGGUAAGCGGAAUAUGUCAUGUAGCGGUGAAAUGCUUAGAUAUGACAUAGAACACCAAUUGCGAAGGCAGCUUACUACAUAUAAAUUGACGCUGAGGCACGAAAGCGUGGGGAUCAAACA